Molecule: long non-coding RNA, 292 nt
Organism: Panonychus citri (citrus red mite)
Lineage: Eukaryota; Metazoa; Arthropoda; Arachnida; Trombidiformes; Tetranychidae
Exons: 3
Source: RefSeq, a predicted model, not a curated record
AUCAGAGAUAAAGAACGACUUGAGAGAUUAUCUUCUGGUGCUGAAGUUUCCUCUGAAGAUUUCGAUCAAGCAGCACUGGAAACUGCCCAAGAAUUUGAAGACAAAUUUAACGAAGAGCUGAAGAAACUUGAAUUAGCUCCUAGAAAAACAAAAGACGAUGAGACAAGUAACUUUAAAUCAUUGAAUCGAUGUCUAGAUCAUAGAUUACUAUUUUUUAUCAAUUCGCAAGUUGGUAAUCAUGAUAAAUGGACAUUGCCUUUUGUCAAAAUUGAUAAACAAUCAUCUCUGAGAG